Molecule: ribosomal RNA, 427 nt
Filed under: uncultured beta proteobacterium
Lineage: Bacteria; Pseudomonadati; Pseudomonadota; Betaproteobacteria
Description: bacterial SSU rRNA
Rfam family: Bacterial small subunit ribosomal RNA
Source: RNAcentral
UGGGGAAUUUUGGACAAUGGGCGAAAGCCUGAUCCAGCCAUGCCGCGUGAGUGAAGAAGGCCUUCGGGUUGUAAAGCUCUUUUAGUCGGAAAGAAAGAGUUGCAAUGAAUAAUUGUGAUUUAUGACGGUACCGACAGAAAAAGCACCGGCUAACUACGUGCCAGCAGCCGCGGUAAUACGUAGGGUGCGAGCGUUAAUCGGAAUUACUGGGCUUAAAGGGUGCGCAGGCGGUCUUGCAAGUCAGAUGUGAAAGCCCCGGGCUUAACCUGGGAAUUGCGUUUGAAACUACAAGGCUAGAGUGCAGCAGAGGGGAGUGGAAUUCCAUGUGUAGCAGUGAAAUGCGUAGAGAUGUGGAAGAACACCGAUGGCGAAGGCAGCUCCCUGGGUUGACACUGACGCUCAUGCACGAAAGCGUGGGGAGCAAACA